This 253-nucleotide ribosomal RNA is filed under the name uncultured bacterium. RNAcentral describes it as "partial 16S ribosomal RNA". It matches the Rfam family "Bacterial small subunit ribosomal RNA", at positions 524 to 776 of the family's 1533-position model. The record is from RNAcentral.
UACGAAGGGGGCUAGCGUUGUUCGGAAUGACUGGGCGUAAAGGGCGCGUAGGCGGUUUGAUAAGUUUGGUGUGAAAGUCCUGGGCUUAACCUGGGGAUUGCACUGGAUACUGUUAGACUAGAGGUCGAGAGAGGAGAAUGGAAUUGCGAGUGUAGAGGUGAAAUUCGUAGAUAUUCGCAAGAACACCGGUGGCGAAGGCGGUUUUCUGGCUCGAAUCUGACGCUAAGGCGCGAAAGCGUGGGGAGCAAACAGG